RNAcentral lists this unclassified non-coding RNA (313 nucleotides) under Hevea brasiliensis (rubber tree). Lineage: Eukaryota; Viridiplantae; Streptophyta; Magnoliopsida; Malpighiales; Euphorbiaceae. The record is from RNAcentral.
GUGGAUUCUCAACCGACUGAGCAGGUUUAAGAGCAUUAGCAUGGACAUCGUCUUCACAAAAUUCAUGACCAUUAAUCUUAUUGAAUGACUUAUCAUCUUCAGGAGAAUCCACUACGCGAAUGUCAUUUACAAACUCAUCCAUGCCAUUGCCUAUUGCAGGAGGAAAAGAUUUCUUCUCAGAACCGGAGUCAGCCAACUCAUGCCCAGCAUGAGAAUUGGAACAAAUGAUUCCUUCAUCUGAAACUUUAACCUUAGGUUCAAGAAAUCCGUCUGAAGAUGUAUCAGCUUCCAUACAUUGGGAAGUGACCUGCAC